CAAUAGCGUAUAUUUAAGUUGUUGCAGUUAAAAAGCUCGUAGUUGGAUUUCGGGUAGGAUUUGCCGGUCCGUCUUUGAGAUGUGUACUGGUAAAUCCUAUCUUCUUGUCGGGGACCAGCUCCUGGGCUUCACUGUCCGGGACUGGGAGCCGACGAAGUUACUUUGAGUAAAUUAGAGUGUUCAAAGCAAGCCUACGCUCUGAAUAUAUUAGCAUGGAAUAACACGAUAGGACUCUGGCUUAUCUUGUUGGUCUGUGAGACCAUAGUAAUGAUUAAGAGGGACAGUCGGGGGCAUUCGUAUUUCAUUGUCAGAGGUGAAAUUCUUGGAUUUGUUAAAGACGGACUACAGCGAAAGCAUCUGCCAUGGAUGUUUUCAUUGA
RNAcentral lists this ribosomal RNA (379 nucleotides) under uncultured eukaryote. Its description in RNAcentral is "partial 18S ribosomal RNA". It matches the Rfam family "Eukaryotic small subunit ribosomal RNA", at positions 592 to 976 of the family's 1831-position model. The record is from RNAcentral.